UCUAAUAUGCAGUUGGGAUCUGCUUAAGUUUCUCCAACAACGAAGAAGACCAGCAGCCAUGAUGGCGCCUGCUAGUGAUUUGUCGAGCUAUUGAGAUCUCAGUAUCGAGUCGCGAGAUUAAUAACAAACGAAUUACCAUCCAUUAUUCAACUAAGCCAGUGAUUUCAUAGCUGUCAUCGCACGUUAUUUAUACGUCUGUCGUGAGGAGCACCAAAUGUUUUAUGCAUAACCAUCGAACCGUCAAAAGCUCAGUAUUAGAUGUUAAAGGAAUACACGGAUCAUCUGCCACAGAAGUAUUUAUACAACUUCAGCUCGGAAAUUGAAUCUUCAAAAUGAAUACAGACCUAAAGGAAAAAGACCCAGCCACAACAGAAGAGGACAACGAUGAUGAUGAGGAGGCUGAGAUCAUGGAAAUCCGAGGCGUGGUGAUGAAGCCUGGGAUCGAGUGGAGUAUCGCCUGGGAACGUCACGUGGUCAGUGUGUAUACGGGAAUAGAGAUGUACCAAAACCUUAAGCUUCCCCAUGGCAACAAGAACCGCGAAAUUACCCGCAUGUUGGAGGAGAGCUUAACACAGAAUAAACGAAUGACUAUCGAUUAUAGAAUCGCCGAUAAGGAAAUACUUGAGGUGCGUUAUCGAUAAUGCACAAACUCAUUGUUGUCCAAUAAAAGUUGUUCUUUUAACAGCACUUAGUGAAACUUUAUUGAUAAUUGAUAACAUUCUUGGACGAGGAAAGUGAGUAAAAACCCUUUUUAACUCUUAUUUUUUGAUAGCGUCGAGGUUUUAGUGCCUCAAUCAUAUGUAAUACGAUAUUAGUUUUAAGAAUUGUGACCAGGGGAUGUAAAAUUAAGAGUUACAUUUACUGCAACAAAAAAAGAGAGAAAUCUUAAAAAACCUUAGAAAUUCAAGAACUGGCAAAUUGUUUUCAAUACCUUAUCCUGCUGUUGUUUACGUUGUUUAUGUUGUUUAUUUGAAGAUUAAUUUAACUAAAGACAUUAACUUGGGAGAAUUUGGUUUUGCAUCAAUAUUAAAAGUUUUACUAAAGUAUUGCAAAGUGUCAGGAAAAAUUAUGGCAGCUUACUAAAUUUUUGUAAGAUUUCCUCAAAAUAAAUAUAAAGACCACA
This is a long non-coding RNA of Stylophora pistillata, 1123 nucleotides long. The record is from RefSeq and is a predicted model, not a curated record. NCBI's taxonomy places the organism in Eukaryota, Metazoa, Cnidaria, Anthozoa, Scleractinia, Pocilloporidae.